CUCAUCAUCACCACUCUUUUUAAUAAUCUUCUCAUCGGCUCCGAUCAACUUUUCCCCUUUCUCUUUCUCACCCACAGCGGCAGCGGCAGGAUCGGCGGCUUGGGGCUGAUCAAGAUCGGGACUUGGUACUGUUGGGGGAUUCAGGCUAAGAUCAGAGGUGAAGCAUGGAGGAGGAGGGGGAGGAGGAGGAUCCAUGGGAUAUUUGAUCUGGGUUUCUAAAGCGUUGGAAUCCAAAUUGAAGAAAUCCCAGAAACCAGG
This 258-nucleotide long non-coding RNA is filed under the name Carica papaya (papaya). RNAcentral describes it as "long non-coding RNA (CPAP_LNC001690)". Lineage: Eukaryota; Viridiplantae; Streptophyta; Magnoliopsida; Brassicales; Caricaceae. The record is from RNAcentral.